Molecule: ribosomal RNA, 2305 nt
Filed under: Citrobacter sp. Cpo150
Lineage: Bacteria; Pseudomonadati; Pseudomonadota; Gammaproteobacteria; Enterobacterales; Enterobacteriaceae
Description: partial 23S ribosomal RNA
Rfam family: Bacterial large subunit ribosomal RNA
Source: RNAcentral
GGUUAACCGAAUAGGGGAGCCGAAGGGAAACCGAGUCUUAACUGGGCGUUAAGUUGCAGGGUAUAGACCCGAAACCCGGUGAUCUAGCCAUGGGCAGGUUGAAGGUUGGGUAACACUAACUGGAGGACCGAACCGACUAAUGUUGAAAAAUUAGCGGAUGACUUGUGGCUGGGGGUGAAAGGCCAAUCAAACCGGGAGAUAGCUGGUUCUCCCCGAAAGCUAUUUAGGUAGCGCCUCGUGAACUCAUCUUCGGGGGUAGAGCACUGUUUCGGCUAGGGGGUCAUCCCGACUUACCAACCCGAUGCAAACUGCGAAUACCGAAGAAUGUUAUCACGGGAGACACACGGCGGGUGCUAACGUCCGUCGUGAAGAGGGAAACAACCCAGACCGCCAGCUAAGGUCCCAAAGUCAUGGUUAAGUGGGAAACGAUGUGGGAAGGCACAGACAGCCAGGAUGUUGGCUUAGAAGCAGCCAUCAUUUAAAGAAAGCGUAAUAGCUCACUGGUCGAGUCGGCCUGCGCGGAAGAUGUAACGGGGCUAAACCAUGCACCGAAGCUGCGGCAGCGACACUAUGUGUUGUUGGGUAGGGGAGCGUUCUGUAAGCCGUUGAAGGUGUGUCGUGAGGCAUGCUGGAGGUAUCAGAAGUGCGAAUGCUGACAUAAGUAACGAUAAUGCGGGUGAAAAACCCGCACGCCGGAAGACCAAGGGUUCCUGUCCAACGUUAAUCGGGGCAGGGUGAGUCGACCCCUAAGGCGAGGCCGAAAGGCGUAGUCGAUGGGAAACAGGUUAAUAUUCCUGUACUUGGUGUUACUGCGAAGGGGGGACGGAGAAGGCUAUGUUAGCCGGGCGACGGUUGUCCCGGUUUAAGCAUGUAGGCGGAGGUUCCAGGUAAAUCCGGUACCUUAUUAACGCUGAGGUGUGAUGACGAGGCACUACGGUGCUGAAGUAACAAAUGCCCUGCUUCCAGGAAAAGCCUCUAAGCAUCAGGUAACACGAAAUCGUACCCCAAACCGACACAGGUGGUCAGGUAGAGAAUACCAAGGCGCUUGAGAGAACUCGGGUGAAGGAACUAGGCAAAAUGGUGCCGUAACUUCGGGAGAAGGCACGCUGAUAUGUAGGUGAAGUGAUUUACUCAUGGAGCUGAAAUCAGUCGAAGAUACCAGCUGGCUGCAACUGUUUAUUAAAAACACAGCACUGUGCAAACACGAAAGUGGACGUAUACGGUGUGACGCCUGCCCGGUGCCGGAAGGUUAAUUGAUGGGGUUAUCCGUAAGGAGAAGCUCUUGAUCGAAGCCCCGGUAAACGGCGGCCGUAACUAUAACGGUCCUAAGGUAGCGAAAUUCCUUGUCGGGUAAGUUCCGACCUGCACGAAUGGCGUAAUGAUGGCCAGGCUGUCUCCACCCGAGACUCAGUGAAAUUGAACUCGCUGUGAAGAUGCAGUGUACCCGCGGCAAGACGGAAAGACCCCGUGAACCUUUACUAUAGCUUGACACUGAACACUGGUCCUUGAUGUGUAGGAUAGGUGGGAGGCUUUGAAGUGUGGACGCCAGUCUGCAUGGAGCCAUCCUUGAAAUACCACCCUUUAAUGGCUGGUGUUCUAACGUAGACCCGUAAUCCGGGUUGCGGACAGUGUCUGGUGGGUAGUUUGACUGGGGCGGUCUCCUCCUAAAGAGUAACGGAGGAGCACGAAGGUUAGCUAAUCCUGGUCGGACAUCAGGAGGUUAGUGCAAAGGCAUAAGCUAGCUUGACUGCGAGAGUGACGGCUCGAGCAGGUGCGAAAGCAGGUCUUAGUGAUCCGGUGGUUCUGAAUGGAAGGGCCAUCGCUCAACGGAUAAAAGGUACUCCGGGGAUAACAGGCUGAUACCGCCCAAGAGUUCAUAUCGACGGCGGUGUUUGGCACCUCGAUGUCGGCUCAUCACAUCCUGGGGCUGAAGUAGGUCCCAAGGGUAUGGCUGUUCGCCAUUUAAAGUGGUACGCGAGCUGGGUUUAGAACGUCGUGAGACAGUUCGGUCCCUAUCUGCCGUGGGCGCUGGAGAAUUGAGGGGGGCUGCUCCUAGUACGAGAGGACCGGAGUGGACGCAUCACUGGUGUUCGGGUUGUCAUGCCAAUGGCAUUGCCCGGUAGCUAAAUGCGGAAGAGAUAAGUGCUGAAAGCAUCUAAGCACGAAACUUGCCCCGAGAUGAGUUCUCCCUGAGACUUUAAGUCUCCUGAAGGAACGUUGAAGACGACGACGUUGAUAGGUCGGGUGUGUAAGUGUAGCGAUACAUUGAGCUAACCGAUACUAAUGAACCGUGAGGCUUAACCUU